Molecule: ribosomal RNA, 526 nt
Filed under: Oxynopterus sp. UPOL RK0047
Lineage: Eukaryota; Metazoa; Arthropoda; Insecta; Coleoptera; Elateridae
Description: partial 16S ribosomal RNA
Rfam family: Archaeal large subunit ribosomal RNA
Source: RNAcentral
CAUGUCCUUUUGAUUAUAAUUUAAGGUCUAAUCUGCUCAAUGAAAUUUUAAAUUGCCGCGGUAUUUUGACCGUGCAAAGGUAGCAUAAUAAUUAGUUUUUUUAUUGAAAGCUGGAAUGAAUGAUUGGACGAGAAAGUGACUGUCUCUAAAUAAUUAUUAUUUUGAAUUUAACUUUUGAGUAAAAAGGCUCAAAUUUUUUUUAAAGACGAGAAGACCCUAUAGAGUUUAAUAUCUAAUUUGUUAUGUUAAUUUUUGGAAUUUUUUUUAAUUAAUUAUUUAUUUAGUUGGGGUGACUAGAGGAUUGAAUAAACUCCUCUAACAAGUAUUAAAUCAUUGAUUUAUGAAAAUAUAAUCUAGUUUUACCUAAAUAUAAGAUAAAUUACCUUAGGGAUAACAGCGUAAUUUCUUUUUGGAGCUCUAAUUGGAAAAGAAGUUUGCGACCUCGAUGUUGGAUUAAAAUUAGUUUUUGGUGCAGAAGCUAAAAAACUAGGUCUGUUCGACCUUUAAAUUUUUACAUGAUCUGAGU